Molecule: ribosomal RNA, 1597 nt
Filed under: alkali sediment metagenome
Description: bacterial LSU rRNA
Rfam family: Bacterial large subunit ribosomal RNA
Source: RNAcentral
AGCGCGGCGAAGCGGAACGGAAACGGACCGUGGAGCGCUGGCCAGUGAGAAUGCAGACACGAGUAGCGAUAAACCAGGUAAGAAUCCUGGUCGCCGUAAACCCAAGGUUUCCUGGGGCAGGUUCGUCCCCCCAGGGUUAGCCGGGAUCUAACACGAGGCCGUAAGGCGUAGUGGAUGCACAGCAGGUUAAAUAUUCCUGCGCCCGCCGGGAUUAAGGCUGCGAAUGACGCAUGGGAAGACAUCAACUAGGCAAUCGAAUGCUGAGCUUAGGUUUCGGCCGAAGCGCACCGCCGGACAAGUUGCCGAGAAAAGAUCCCAGUUGUUCCCCCGGUCGCCCGUACCGUAAACCGACACAGGUGGGUGAGUGUAAGCGCACUCAGGCGCGCGAGAGAAACCUCUCUAAGGAACUCGGCACAUUAGCCCCGUAACUUCGGGAGAAGGGGUGCCUGAAACCGUUGCAGCAAUGUGGCGGCGUAAGGUCUCAGUAAAUUGCGUUUAGCGACUGUUUAACAAAAACACAGCACUCUGCCAAGUCGUGAAGACGACGUAUAGGGUGUGACACGUGACCAAUGCGGAAAGAUUAAAACAUUGGGUUAGCCGCAAGGCGAAGCUCGGUGUCCAAGUCCCAGUGAAUGUCGGCCGUAACUAUAACGGUCCUAAGGUAGCGAAAUUCCUUGUCGGGUAAGUUCCGACCUGCACGAAUCGUGUAACGACUGAACGACUGUCUCGGAGAGGAUCUCGGCGAAACUGUAACGGCGGUGAAGAUGCCGCCUGCCCGCAGUAGGACGGAAAGACCCUAUGCACCUUUACUGUAAGCUCGUAUUGGGUUCUGAUUAACGAUGCGUAGCGUAGGUGGGAGACUUUGAAGUGAGUGCUUCGGUGCUCAUGGAGUCGCAAUGUGAAACACCACUCUUUGCUAAUUCGGAUUCUAACGGUCAGUUUGACUGGGGCGGUUUCCUCCCAAAGAGUAACGGAGGAGCGCGAAGCUUGGCUCAGCAUGGUUGGCAACUAUGCGUCGAGCGUAUGGGUAGAAGCCAGGUUAACUGUGAGACCUACAAGUCGAGCAGGUGCGAAAGCAGGCCCAAAUGAUCCGACGGUUUAAUGUGGAAUUGCCGUCGCUCAUCGGACAAAAGGUACGCUAGGGAUAACAGGCUGAUCGGAUCCAAGAGUUCACAUCGACGAUCCGGUUUGGCACCUCGAUGUCGGCUCAUCGCAUCCUGGGGCUGGAGAAGGUCCCAAGGGUCCGGCUGUUCGCCGGUUAAAGCGGUACGCGAGCUGGGUUCAGAACGUCGUGAGACAGUUCGGUCCUUAUCCACUGUGGGCGCAGGAAACUUGAGGGGUUCUAACCUUAGUACGAGAGGACCGGGUUAGACGCACUUCUGGUGUGGCAGUUGUUCCGUCAGGGGCAUCGCUGCGUAGCCAUGUGCGGAAGAGAUAAGCGCUGAAAGCAUCUAAGUGCCAAGCUCCUCCCAAGAUAUUGUUUCCCGGAGCGCAAGCUCCCUAAAGACCCCGGGUAGACCACCCGGUUGAUAGGCUGGGCGUGCAAGCGUCGUGAGACGUUUAGCGGACCAGUACUAAUCGGUCGUGAGGCUUGAUC